CAGCGCCGCGGGAAUACGUAGGUGGCAAGCGUUGUCCGGAAUUAUUGGGCGUAAAGGGCUCGCAGGCGGUUUCUUAAGUCUGAUGUGAAAGCCCCCGGCUCAACCGGGGAGGGUCAUUGGAAACUGGGAAACUUGAGUGCAGAAGAGGAGAGUGGAAUUCCACGUGUAGCGGUGAAAUGCGUAGAGAUGUGGAGGAACACCAGUGGCGAAGGCGACUCUCUGGUCUGUAACUGACGCUGAGGAGCGAAAGCGUGGGGAGCGAACAGGAUUAGAUACCCCUGUAGUCCCUGUCUCUUAUACA
RNAcentral lists this ribosomal RNA (301 nucleotides) under uncultured bacterium. RNAcentral's name for it is "partial 16S ribosomal RNA". It matches the Rfam family "Bacterial small subunit ribosomal RNA", at positions 509 to 808 of the family's 1533-position model. The record is from RNAcentral.